RNAcentral lists this ribosomal RNA (696 nucleotides) under Triticum aestivum (bread wheat). RNAcentral describes it as "partial small subunit ribosomal RNA". The record is from RNAcentral. Lineage: Eukaryota; Viridiplantae; Streptophyta; Magnoliopsida; Poales; Poaceae.
AUGCCGUCGUGGCCGAACUGCAAUGAGACGUCGGACGACGAUGACGAGUACAUGAGCGAGUUCAGCAACAUGCAGAUGGAGUAUUUUGUAACUCCUGACACUAUGAUAGACCCUAGUUUCUGUGAUCUUGUGACUGGAUUUGAUAGAAGGUGCAUCCUGCACAGGCAGAGGCCAGGCAAGUUUGUGGCAUUUGAAUGCACUGACACUGGCAGGAGAUUCAUAGGAUGUGCUACUGAGGAUGGUAUGAACUAUGGUGUUCUGGAGUGGGUAGAUGCCCCCUGGCCUGUAAUUCUACAAAGGUGCUUAAGCAAGCUCUGGGAUAUGUAUCAUGAGCAGAACCUUGGUAGAGCACGGGAUAAUGAGGCUCAUGGGACAGAGGUUGCAAAACUGCAGAAGGAGUUUGAUUCUCUGGAAAUGAAUGAACUGAAGGAGAAGAAGAAGCAACUUGAGGAGCAGGCAGAAAUUGAGCUUCAAAUGGAGAAGCUUAAGCUCAAGAAAGAACAGAGGUGCAUCCUUCAGAGUCAAGCUGAUAUAAUCAAAAACACAAGGAAGGCCAUGAAGGAGAUAGAGGUGGACAGAGACCUCCUUAAAGAAGAGAAGAAGAAGCUGGAGAAUGUCAUUGCUGAGCUCCUGAAGGUUGGUCAUGGGUGCAAGGAAAAGCUGGACAAGAUCAAGGAAGUUGUGAUGGAGGAGUGA